This 371-nucleotide transfer-messenger RNA is filed under the name Chitinophagaceae. RNAcentral's name for it is "Flavisolibacter sp002050435 Standard tmRNA". It matches the Rfam family "transfer-messenger RNA". From Rfam's summary of the family: Bacterial tmRNA, also known as 10Sa RNA or SsrA, is named for its dual tRNA and mRNA-like properties. Its role is to liberate the mRNA from a stalled ribosome. To accomplish this part of the tmRNA is used as a reading frame that ends in a translation stop signal. RNAcentral also lists the same sequence under 1 other name. The record is from RNAcentral. Lineage: Bacteria; Pseudomonadati; Bacteroidota; Chitinophagia; Chitinophagales.
GGGGGUGUAUGGUUUUGACAGCAACGAUCUUUGAAAGUAUAAGCAUGCCGAGCGUUGGAUAGUCAGCUCGUAAAUCUGAAUAUUCAAAACACAAAUGGCAAUACUCAGUAUGCCAUGGCUGCCUAAUCAGUGAUUUAGCAGUCAUUAGGGCCGCCGCGCAGGUUCACCUAUUUCCAUGUGCUGCCGCCGACUCAAACCAAAAUAGGUUGCUGCAACAGAAUGUUGUGACUGUUGCUUAAGAACAUUCAACUAAGGAUUUCAUUGGUUUGUUCAGUUCCGGUGAAGUUUCGACAAUCAAUUCUGAAAUAAGCAUGUAGAAAGCUUUUGAAUAUCUUGUUUGGACACCGGUUCGAAUCCGGUCACCUCCACAU